RNAcentral lists this ribosomal RNA (484 nucleotides) under uncultured bacterium. RNAcentral's name for it is "partial 16S ribosomal RNA". It matches the Rfam family "Bacterial small subunit ribosomal RNA", at positions 30 to 507 of the family's 1533-position model. The record is from RNAcentral.
AUUGAACGCUGGCGGCAUGCUUUACACAUGCAAGUCGAACGGUAACAGGGUGCUUGCACCGCUGACGAGUGGCGAACGGGUGAGUAAUGCAUCGGAAUGUACCGUGUAAUGGGGGAUAGCUCGGCGAAAGCCGGAUUAAUACCGCAUACGCCCUGAGGGGGAAAGUGGGGGACCGAAAGGCCUCACGUUAUACGAGCAGCUGAUGUCUGAUUAGCUAGUUGGUGAGGUAAAGGCUCACCAAGGCGUCGAUCAGUAGCGGGUCUGAGAGGAUGAUCCGCCACACUGGGACUGAGACACGGCCCAGACUCCUACGGGAGGCAGCAGUGGGGAAUUUUGGACAAUGGGCGCAAGCCUGAUCCAGCCAUGCCGCGUGUCUGAAGAAGGCCUUCGGGUUGUAAAGGACUUUUGUCCGGGAGCAAAUCCUAGUGGUUAAUAACCGCUGGGUCUGAGAGUACCGGAAGAAUAAGCACCGGCUAACUACGUG